Molecule: ribosomal RNA, 495 nt
Filed under: uncultured bacterium
Lineage: Bacteria
Description: partial 16S ribosomal RNA
Rfam family: Bacterial small subunit ribosomal RNA
Source: RNAcentral
GACGAACGCUGGCGGCGUGCCUAAUACAUGCAAGUAGAACGCUGAAGGAGGAGCUUGCUUCUCUGGAUGAGUUGCGAACGGGUGAGUAACGCGUAGGUAACCUGCCUGGUAGCGGGGGAUAACUAUUGGAAACGAUAGCUAAUACCGCAUAAGAGUAGAUGUUGCAUGACAUUUGCUUAAAAGAUGCAAUUGCAUCACUACCAGAUGGACCUGCGUUGUAUUAGCUAGUUGGUGGGGUUACGGCUUAACAAAGCGACGAUACAUAGCCGACCUGAGAGGGGGGUCCGCCCAACCGGGAAUGGGACAACGCCCAGGAUCCCUAGGGAGGCAGCAGUAGGGGAUCUUCGGCCAUGGAGCGAAGUCUGGACGAGCAAAGGCGCGGUAGUGGAGGAGGGUCUCCGAUCGUUAAGCUCCGUUGUAAGGGAAGAACGAGAGUGAGAGUGGAAAGUUCACACUGUGACGGUAUCUUACCAGAAAGGGACGGCUAACUACGUG